Columba livia (rock pigeon) is the source of this 675-nucleotide long non-coding RNA. RefSeq lists it as uncharacterized. The record is from RefSeq and is a predicted model, not a curated record. The transcript is spliced from 4 exons. NCBI's taxonomy places the organism in Eukaryota, Metazoa, Chordata, Aves, Columbiformes, Columbidae.
UCAAAAUGGAAAGCCUGACUUGGAGAACAUUUAUCUUUAUUUUACUUGUCUAGAAAUCCAACCAAGUGAAAAUGAAAUGGUUUAUGGUUUUCAUAAUCUCGUUUAUUCUUUUACAUAUUACAGCAGAGAAAUAAAUCCUGUGAUCAAGAUUUUCAGAAACAAGCCCAUAUUUAUUGUUAGGCACCUGCCCAAGUUAUCAAAAUGCUGGGCUCCUGCUAGUUUCCAUUCAUCUCAGAAGCACAGGUUUAACACUGCAAGGAUAAAUGCCUUCACUGGUCAAAGCUGCAAUUGAAUAUAUUAAGGAAGCAAACUACUUAUGUGAUAGAGACAGUAUGAAUAAAUACCUGAUUUUUGAAAGGACUUCAGCUUUCAGCACUCACUGAAAUACAUGAGCUAAAUAAGAAAUAUACCAUCUACCCAGAUGACAUCACUUCCUGGUGUAUCUUGUAUGACUUUUCUAUGGAUUCACCUCUGUUCAGAGACAUGAAAGUGAAAGAAUUGGAUACCUAUAAUGUCUAUGGAGUUCAGCAGAAGACAGAAACAGUGUGAGAGAAUAUACUUCAUUUACCUUGCCACUGGUGUUUGAGCAAUGCACUGAUACAUAGCAUGUCAUCAGAUGAGACUGAAUAAGAGCUUUUGUUUUGAAGGCCUCUAAAACUGUCAUUCUAAGGCUUU